Molecule: ribosomal RNA, 254 nt
Filed under: uncultured bacterium
Lineage: Bacteria
Description: partial 16S ribosomal RNA
Rfam family: Bacterial small subunit ribosomal RNA
Source: RNAcentral
UACGUAGGCAGCGAGCGUUGUUCGGAGUUACUGGGCGUAAAGGGUGUGUAGGCGGUUGUUUAAGUUUGGUGUGAAAUCUCCCGGCUCAACUGGGAGGGUGCGCCGAAUACUGAAUGACUAGAGUGCGGGAGAGGUGAGUGGAAUUCCUGGUGUAGGCGGUGAAAUGCGUAGAUAUCAGGAGGAACACCGGUGGUGUAGACGGCUCACUGGACCGUAACUGACGCUGAGACACGAAAGCGUGGGUAGCAAACAGG